GUUGUCUAGUAAAAGAUUUAACGAUGAGAGAAUCUAACAGAUGUCUACCUCUCCAACAAUGACUGUGUCCCCUUCCUUUACGCCUAGUUUCAUGAGAGUCUUAUUCACACCACAAGCCUCCAAAACGUGCUGGAACCUUUUCUCUGAAUCAACAUACCUGU
This is a long non-coding RNA of Rhodamnia argentea, 161 nucleotides long. RefSeq lists it as uncharacterized. Lineage: Eukaryota; Viridiplantae; Streptophyta; Magnoliopsida; Myrtales; Myrtaceae. The transcript is spliced from 4 exons. The record is from RefSeq and is a predicted model, not a curated record.